Molecule: small RNA, 1019 nt
Filed under: Vigna angularis var. angularis
Lineage: Eukaryota; Viridiplantae; Streptophyta; Magnoliopsida; Fabales; Fabaceae
Description: Non-protein coding transcript
Source: RNAcentral
AACAUAAAACAGAAGAAAAAAAACAAUAACUGAGAAACUCAACACAAUAUGCUGUAAAUAAAAAAGAAAACAGAGACCGGAUUCAAGUGGACAUAUCUAAUCACAAACACAGUUAUCAAUUCCGGAUUGAGGCACAAACCAGCUGACCUCGACACGAUGUGAUAAUAGGAUGGCCACUAUUCUGUAUGCAGGUUUAUAAGAUGUAUAGGAUAUACACAUAACUGUCAGAAAAUGAUAAAUUACUCAAUUCAUGACAUUAAUAAUCAACAAUAGAAAGUCAAUGGCAGAAGAUCACCAGAUAUGAUACAAGACAAGUUAGCAGGUCACUGAAGAGUGGAGAAACAGACUACAGGUCUUGUUGCCAGAGAGAAGAGAGUUGAGAGAGAAGAUUUAUCAAUGGCAGUAAGUGUCACCCUUUUAACUGCUUUUUCCCUGAGAACCCUAUAAUACCCCUAUCCACAACAAAUAGCCUCGACAUCCUAUUAAAGAGGGUUUCUAGGAAUCUCAGCACAAUAGCUGAAAUAUUUAAGAAGGCAGCAACAGCACUGUUGUGCAGUAUUAAUAACCAUUAAUUAUAAAGUAAAAUUUUUAUACAGGAAAAGAAUGAGCUACUUAACAAUUUAGCAGGAGUGAACAGAAACAACUAAAAAAUAUAUAUAACAAUAUAGCAGCACCACAUCAUCUUUCAUGUUCUUUUAUUGUUAUUGCAGUCAAAAGAGGGUGGCACAUGGCUCAAAGGCAAAGGUUACGGACAGGUUAUUCAUAAUCAUUAUUUCAAGUAACAUAAAAAGUUCCUCUAAGCUCACCCGGAGAUGGCUGCAUUGCAUACAUCAAAACCUGUCGGACCCCACCAAUGAUGGAGCCUGAUGAACUAGGAUGUGAACGCUUCUCUGUUAUGUCAUAGAUUUGAGAGAUAAUGCACCAGUGCAGGCAGUCAGAUAAGUUAUAAUUUGUGGGAAUCCAUAGAUUAAUUGAAAAUUAAUCCAGUGUUUGAUGCACAGCUCAGCAAAGAUUUCACU